Molecule: ribosomal RNA, 484 nt
Filed under: uncultured bacterium
Lineage: Bacteria
Description: partial 16S ribosomal RNA
Rfam family: Bacterial small subunit ribosomal RNA
Source: RNAcentral
AUUGAACGCUGGCGGCAGGCCUAACACAUGCAAGUCGAGCGGAUGAAGGGAGCUUGCUCCUGGACUCAGCGGCGGACGGGUGAGUAAUGCCUAGGAAUCUGCCUGGUAGUGGGGGAUAACGUCCGGAAACGGGCGCUAAUACCGCAUACGUCCUGAGGGAGAAAGUGGGGGAUCUUCGGACCUCACGCUAUCAGAUGAGCCUAGGUCGGAUUAGCUAGUUGGUGGGGUAAAGGCCUACCAAAGCGACGAUCCGUAACUGGUCUGAGAGGAUGAUCAGUCACACUGGAACUGAGACACGGUCCAGACUCCUACGGGAGGCAGCAGUGGGGAAUAUUGGACAAUGGGCGAAAGCCUGAUCCAGCCAUGCCGCGUGUGUGAAGAAGGUCUUCGGAUUGUAAAGCACUUUAAGUUGGGAGGAAGGGCAGUAAGUUAAUACCUUGCUGUUUUGACGUUACCAACAGAAUAAGCACCGGCUAACUUCGUG